UUUUCUGAUUAGUCCUCAUUUGUUUCUGCUCUCCCCCGUGGCAUGCGUUCCCGUCCGCCGCCGUCCGCCGGACGCUGCCGCCGCCACAUGAGGCCACAGUUCCGGUCAUGGGGUGUGCCCCAAGAUAGCACCUGGCCCUCCUUGUGGGCUUCCUAAUCCUUUUCCCCAGCCCACUCAUCCAUCAACCCCUUCUCACAUCGGUAGGUAGCCAAUUUCUCCAUCGGUAGGGGCGCUCGAUGGAGAGCAAGGGCAAAAUGUUCCUGCGCUACGGGCCGUGCGGCGGGAUCACUGCCAGAACAGCGACCUGCUGCCGCGCCGUGGACACCCCGCUGCUGCACCGCAUGUCCGCACCCAACCCUGCAUCCUCGAUCGGGACAUCGGGAGUGGCCCCGAGUCACCGCCGCGCCCUCCCCCUCCGGCCGCCGGCUAACUGCUCCGUGAGUUGAGGAGGUGAAGCCCUUUACUUUCCAGGCGAUGGCCACUGUAAUUGGUGAACUUGGAUAAGGUGUCGAACUGGCAAUGUUAUCUUCUUGACCUGUGUGUUGCAAACCAUCAAAGUAUCAUGCCAAAAGAAACUUGCCACAUUAGAGGCCUCAAUGCUUCUAUUGAGUUGCAUGCACAUACCAGUUCAACCCAAAAGCUUAAGUUGACGGGGAGAGGUGGGCAAUUCACUUAUAUUCCAACAGCUUCUGCUCUGUGCUUGCUGUAGUGUGGACAGUUCACAAUCUGUUCCACGUCUCCAAGAGAUAUGAUGCCUCCAAUCGACCACCGCCAAUUGACUGCUGGACCAAAUUUUGUCACCAACAUUGCUUACCUUCUGGCUCACUUAACCAGGUGAUGUUUGCACUUUGCACAUGGGGUGAUCAAAGUAGCUGACUUGUGAGACUAUGACAAGUCACAUUUGACAUUUGUGUAAAGCUUGAUAGGCGCCCUCUGUUCUACAUAUCUUUCUACCAGGGUCAGUCUACCAGACAUUUGCCAUGAUCCAAGAGUGACGAAACAAAAUCUAUGUAUGACUCCAGAGAUACGCGAAGAUUUUCAGAUGAGAAUUUACAUGGAAGGGUGACCUCCAUUCCUCACUAUCUGGGUUCGCCACUUUUUGUGAACGUGCAAAUGUGAUCGCACGGCAAGAUCAUACUGCAACUCAUUGACAAAUGCACAGCGUAGACAAUGUUGUGGAAGGCGUAGAAUUUUGAGCAACAAUUGUGCUAUGCAGAUAUGCAUUGCUAGUAAGCCGGAUGAUUAUACAAAGUGUCACUUGUGACGACGUCGUCUUCGGCCUGAUGCGUUUGCUUGUUUCUCCUUUUUCAUCUUGACUCUUGACUUCUUGAGCGUGGAUGAUGUUUUUGCAGGGUCUGCAAUCUUUUUCUCCCUACUGGCUUUUUAUUGGCGUCAUCAUUCAGCGACAUGUAUAUACUUUUUCUUUUGAACGAACUCGACAUGUGUAGAAGAUUUGGGGCAAAUUUACUCAGGAGGAUUUUUCCUCUCCUGGUGCCGUC
Panicum virgatum (switchgrass) is the source of this 1499-nucleotide long non-coding RNA. RefSeq lists it as uncharacterized. The transcript is spliced from 3 exons. Lineage: Eukaryota; Viridiplantae; Streptophyta; Magnoliopsida; Poales; Poaceae. The record is from RefSeq and is a predicted model, not a curated record.